UACGUAGGGUGCAAGCGUUAAUCGGAAUUACUGGGCGUAAAGCGUGCGCAGGCGGUGAUAUAAGACAGGUGUGAAAUCCCCGGGCUUAACCUGGGAACUGCAUUUGUGACUGCAUCGCUGGAGUGCGGCAGAGGGGGAUGGAAUUCCGCGUGUAGCAGUGAAAUGCGUAGAUAUCUGGAGGAACACCGGUGGCGAAGGCGGCAUCCUGGACCGACACUGACGCUGAGGAGCGAAAGCCAGGGGAGCAAACGGG
This 253-nucleotide ribosomal RNA is filed under the name uncultured bacterium. RNAcentral's name for it is "partial 16S ribosomal RNA". It matches the Rfam family "Bacterial small subunit ribosomal RNA", at positions 524 to 776 of the family's 1533-position model. The record is from RNAcentral.